ACAAAAAAUAAGGCAGCAACAUGAAAUGUGUUUCAGGUCACCCGGAAAAUCAUUAGGCGGUACGUAUCCUCUGAUGGCAUGGAGAAGGAGGAGAUUACAAUGCAGGGAACGCCACAGGAGCCAGUCAACAUUGAGGAUGGGGACAGUUAUUCCAAAGUGAUAAAGCGUGUGGUAUUGAAGAGUGACACCCAGCAAUCAGAGGUGACCUUGUCUGAACCCAGCAUUUUGUCCAGUACCUCACAGUUUCAGGCUGAACCAGUAGAAGGCCGUAGAGUCAGCAAAGUUGUUAAAACAACAGUGGUACAUGGAGAAAGGAUGGAGAAAAGCCUGGGGGACUCUAGCUUAGCCACUGACCUUCCUUCAGCCAAAGAUGACUUUGAAGAGGUACAGAGCAUUGUUUUAUUUUGUGUCUGUUUUCCUUUGAUGUGCGUUUUAUGGUUGCUUUGUGUUAGCAAAGAAAAGCAUUUGUCAUUUCAUACACAGAUUCAUGGAAGGUGUUUGUAUAACUGAAAAGACCAGAUUUCCGUCUUAAACAAUUUAUGUGGUGAAGUUGUAUUUCUGCAGCCCCCUGGUUUUCAUUCAUGUCACCCAGAGGGCUCUUAAAAAUGCAGGUUGCUGAGAUUCAUUCCUGCCAGGGCAGAAUCCAAGUUUCCAGAGUUGGGGCAUGAUUUCCUAUGUCUGUUAAAAUUACAAAGCCAAGUGUGGUGGCCUAGGUUUGUAAUACUGGCACUGCGGUGGCUAAAGCAUGAUGCCACAAGAUCAAAGCUAGCUUAUGCUACAGAGUGAGCUCAGGCUAGCCUGGACUUCUUUAUGGCAGCCUGCCUAAAAAAAUAGAUAAGUUAUAUCUUAAAUGCUUAAAGUUAAAUGCUAUAAUCAGUGCCCUUAUGUACUUACUCACAUUAGGCCUGGGGAUCCAGCUGUAUUUUAGGAUGCCUAUGUGACCCCCCACAAAGCACUGGGUUUGAUCACCAGAUACUAGAACAACAAUAUCACAACAACAAUAAUAGUAUCAACAAUUAUAUCUAAGUAGUCUAUUAACAUAUUUUUGUAUUAAAAGCAAACUUUCUUUAAAUACUUUUAAUUCUGCACAUUUGACCUCUUGGGUGUUCAAAAAGUGAAUUGUCUAAGUUGUACAUUGGACCCUGUAUCUGGUUUUGUCUUUGAUAAAUGAUCUCAUUUAUUAUUCAAAUCUCCACAAUCAGAAGGAG
RNAcentral lists this long non-coding RNA (1208 nucleotides) under Cricetulus griseus (Chinese hamster). RNAcentral describes it as "lncRNA (ENSCGRG00000024767.1)". The record is from RNAcentral. Lineage: Eukaryota; Metazoa; Chordata; Mammalia; Rodentia; Cricetidae.